RNAcentral lists this ribosomal RNA (450 nucleotides) under uncultured bacterium. RNAcentral's name for it is "partial 16S ribosomal RNA". It matches the Rfam family "Bacterial small subunit ribosomal RNA", at positions 354 to 796 of the family's 1533-position model. The record is from RNAcentral.
GUGGGGAAUUUUGGACAAUGGGCGCAAGCCUGAUCCAGCAAUGCCGCGUGCAGGAAGAAGGCCUUCGGGUUGUAAACUGCUUUUGUACGGAACGAAACGGUCCGGGUUAAUACCCUGGGCUAAUGACGGUACCGUAAGAAUAAGCACCGGCUAACUACGUGCCAGCAGCCGCGGUAAUACGUAGGGUGCAAGCGUUAAUCGGAAUUACUGGGCGUAAAGCGUGCGCAGGCGGUUUUGUAAGACAGGCGUGAAAUCCCCGGGCUCAACCUGGGAAUUGCGCUUGUGACUGCAAGGAUGGAGUGCGGCAGAGGGGGAUGGAAUUCCGCGUGUAGCAGUGAAAUGCGUAGAUAUGGGGAGGAACACCGAUGGCGAAGGCAAUCCCCUGGGCCUGCACUGACGCUCAUGCACGAAAGCGUGGGGAGCAAACAGGAUUAGAAACCCCUGUAGUCC